GCCGCUUUAGCUCAGUUGGUAGAGCACAUCAUUCGUAAUGAUGGGGUCGCAGGUUCGAGUCCUGCAAGCGGCA
RNAcentral lists this transfer RNA (73 nucleotides) under Pannonibacter phragmitetus. It matches the Rfam family "tRNA". From Rfam's summary of the family: Transfer RNA (tRNA) molecules are approximately 80 nucleotides in length. The record is from Rfam by way of RNAcentral. Lineage: Bacteria; Pseudomonadati; Pseudomonadota; Alphaproteobacteria; Hyphomicrobiales; Stappiaceae.